RNAcentral lists this ribosomal RNA (3138 nucleotides) under Triticum aestivum (bread wheat). Its description in RNAcentral is "partial small subunit ribosomal RNA". The record is from RNAcentral. Lineage: Eukaryota; Viridiplantae; Streptophyta; Magnoliopsida; Poales; Poaceae.
AUGAUCAGCCGGUGGCCAAUGACGGAGACGACUGCGGCGGCGGCAACUGCGCCAAGGGAUGAGGCGGCCACUGCGACAAGGGAUCCGGUGUUCUCCUGGAACGGCGAGAGGGAAGGUACGGAGCAACCAACAUUGGACUGGCCCACUUCCUACAAGACUGAAGGUGAGCACUUCAUACGUUUGGCUCCUAUUGGGCGCCUGGCUUCAAGCACCAGGGAGAAGCUCCCUGGCACCCACACCAAGAUUGAUGCUGGCGGCCACAAAUUCACCAAGUCAAGGUCUUCCGUCUAUGAUAAUCAUAGGAUACGAGCGUUGAGGGACAUGGCCCAUUCAUACAUUCCGACCAUGCUAAUGGCCCCCAGCUUUAUGCUAAUCCUGCUCAUGGCUGUUUCAUCUCCUGCUCCGAGCAACUACACCGACCUUGCAGCGCUGCUGGCUUUCAGAUCACAGCUAUCCGAUCCUUUGGCCAUCGUUACAAAUAACUGGACAACCAAUGUGUCCUUUUGCAGCUGGAUCGGCGUGUCAUGCAGCCGUCGUCAUCAUCAGCGUGUCACCGCUCUAGAGCUGUCGGGCAUUCCACUCCAGGGAGAGCUCAGCCCUCACCUCGGUAACCUCUCUUUCCUCCACACCCUCAACCUAACAAACACAAACCUCGCCGGUUCCAUUCCAACCGAUCUUGGAAGAUUAGCUCGUCUUAGGUAUCUAGAUCUUGGCUACAAUAGCCUAUUGGAUACAAUCCCGUCUAUUGUGGGAAACCUCACCAGGCUACAGUUUCUAGUUCUAAAUUUCAACCAGCUCUCAGGGCAGAUCCCCAUUGAGGUGCGAAACAUGCAUAACCUUAGGUACCUCUCUCUAGAAAGAAAUUACAUUAGCCGCCUGGUACCAAAUUUUUCAUUUGAUGGCACGCCUUCACUAAGCCACAUAUACGUUCAGAACAACAGUCUCUCUGGGUCAAUACCAUCUUGUAUCGGCUCCUUGCUCAUGCUCCAGGUUGUUCAGUUGCAGCGUAACCAGCUCUCCGGUCAUGCACCUCUUACCAUAUUCAACAUGUCUAGGAUUGUGGACAUGCGUCUGGGGAUCAACAAUCUAACAGGCCACAUACCUAGUAAUAGAAGCUUUAGUCUCCCCAUGUUGCAGCUAACUGGACCAGUACCAUCAACACUUGGAAACAACAUUCAUCUUGUGUAUAUUGAUAUUCGAGAUAAUCAUCUCCAAGGGGAUCUUAGUUUCUUUGCCAGCCUUUGCAAUUGUCGGCAGCUGCAAACCCUUGCGAUAUCAAAUAAUCCUUUCUCUGGGGGUAUCCCCAGCUAUUUUGGUAACCUCUCGGCUAGCCUUGCAGCAUUUGAAGCAAAUAACAACCAUUUGGUUGGUGGGCUUCCAGCAACACUGUCCAAUCUUAGUGGUCUUCAUGGGAUAAGCAUUUCCGACAACUAUCUUACCAAAAAAAUACCAGAAUCCAUCUAUAAGUUGGAAAAUCUCCAGGCACUUGCUUUCUCUGGAAAUAGAAUUAUUGGCCCAAUCCCUGUACAGUUUGGUAUGCUGAGAAAUAUUGUAGUGUUAGAACUCCAGGACAAUAAAUUAUCUGGCUCCAUACCUGAUGCCAUGGGUAACCUUACCAUGUUAGAAUACAUAACAUUAUCUUAUAACCAUUUAUCUUCGAACAUACCAUCAAGCUUGUUUCAUGGUAACCUUAUCGGACUAGAUAUGUCCCAUAACUCCCUAACCGGUGCACUACCUUCUGAUCUGGACCACAUGCAAAACUCUUUUGGCCGCUUAACCAACUUAGCAACAUUGGACCUAUCAUCGAACAAUCUUUCAGGCACAAUACCAGACUACCUCGCGAACUUCACCUACCUUUCUUAUCUGAACCUCUCAUGUAAUAGGUUAGAAGGGCAAAUACCGAAUGAAGGUGUUUUCUCGAACCUAACCUUGCAAUCUUUGAUGGGAAAUGGUGGGCUAUGUGGUGCUCCUCGUCUAGGACUGCCAUCAUGUAUACAAAAAUCUCACCCGACUUAUGGUCGACACAUCCUCAAUUUUAUACUCCCGGUUGUCAUCAUUGGAGUUGGUGCAUUCGUCGCUCUCUUGUACCUAAUGAUCAGAAAUAAAAGCAAGAAGCAAUUAGAUGUUAUGACUUCUACUACCAUGACUGAUCUGAUCAGCCAUAGGUUAGUAUCCUACCAUGAAAUUAUUCGUGCAACUGAGAAUUUCAAUGAGGACAACCUACUUGGAGCCGGAAUUUUUGGCAAAGUUUUUAAAGGCAAACUAGAUGAUGGUUUGAUGGUUGCAAUAAAAGUGCUCGAUAUCCAAGUUGAGCAGGCCAUGAGGAGCUUUGAUACUGAAUGCCAGGUGUUGCGCAUGGCUCGGCAUCGCAACUUGAUACAUAUAUUGAAUGCAUGUUCCAACCUGGAUUUCAAGGCACUGUUGCUUCAGUACAUGCCGAAUGGUAGCUUGGAGAAACACUUGCAUGUUGAAACCAGGGAACCGCUAGGAUUCAUCGAAAGAUUGGAUAUUAUGCUUGGUGUGUCAGAGGCAAUGGAGUAUCUGCACCAUCAUCAUUUCCAAGUUGUCCUACACUGUGACCUGAAGCCUAGCAAUGUGUUGUUCGAUGACGACAUGACGCCACACGUUGCUGACUUUGGAAUUGCAAAGUUACUUCUACGUGAUGACAACUCCAUGGUUUCAGCAAGUAUGCCAGGGACAAUCGGGUACAUAGCCCCAGAACUUGCAUACAUGGGCAAGGCGUCACGAAAGACCGAUGUAUUCAGCUUUGGGAUCAUGAUGCUCGAAGUAUUCACAGGGAGGAGGCCCACGGAUCCCAUGUUCGUCGGUGAAUCAAGCCUUAGGCGGUGGGUUACACAGGCAUUUCCAGAAAAAUUAGUUGAUGUCAUGGAUGAGAAGCUACAGAAGGAUGAAGCAAUGCGCCUCGUCUACCAUCGCCAAACACUUGGUACUUCAGUGCCGUCAUUAUCCAUUACCUGCAAUACAAACUUUCUCAUGUCGACAUUUAAGCUGGGUCUAGAGUGCUCGAGCGGCUCUCCCGGCCAGAAGGCGAGCAUGAGCGAGGUGGUCGUGAGGCUGAAGAAAAUCAAGAAGGAUUAUUCUGCUUUCACCGCAGCAACUCAAAGCAGGACUGCCUAG